GACGAACGCUGGCGGCGUGCCUAAUACAUGCAAGUAGAACGCUGAAGGAGGAGCUUGCUUCUCUGGAUGAGUUGCGAACGGGUGAGUAACGCGUAGGUAACCUGCCUGGUAGCGGGGGAUAACUCUUGGAAACGAUAGCUAAUACCGCAUAAGAGUAGAUGUUGCAUGACAUUUGCUUAAAAGGUGCAAUUGCAUCACUACCAGAUGGACCUGCGGUGUAUUAGCUAGUUGGUGAGGUAACGGCUCACCAAGGCAACGAUACAUAGCCGACCUGGGAGGGGGAUCGGCCACACUGGGACUGAGACACGGCCCAGACUCCUACGGGAGGCAGCAGUAGGGAAUCUUCGGCAAUGGACGGAAGGCUGACCGAGCAACGCCGCGUGAGGGAAGAAGGUUGUCGGAUCGGAAAGCUCUGUUGUAAGAGAAGAACGAGUGUGAGAGGGGAAAGUGCACACUGUGACGGUAUCUUACCAGAAAGGGACGGCUAACUACGUG
RNAcentral lists this ribosomal RNA (495 nucleotides) under uncultured bacterium. Its description in RNAcentral is "partial 16S ribosomal RNA". It matches the Rfam family "Bacterial small subunit ribosomal RNA", at positions 28 to 507 of the family's 1533-position model. The record is from RNAcentral.